This 497-nucleotide ribosomal RNA is filed under the name uncultured bacterium. Its description in RNAcentral is "partial 16S ribosomal RNA". It matches the Rfam family "Bacterial small subunit ribosomal RNA", at positions 28 to 507 of the family's 1533-position model. The record is from RNAcentral.
GAUGAACGCUGGCGGCGUGCCUAAUACAUGCAAGUCGAGCGAACAGACGAGGAGCUUGCUCCUCUGACGUUAGCGGCGGACGGGUGAGUAACACGUGUAUAACCUACCUAUAAGACUGGGAUAACUUCGGGAAACCGGAGCUAAUACCGGAUAAUAUAUUGAACCGCAUGGUUCAAUAGUGAAAGACGGUUUUGCUGUCACUUAUAGAUGGAUCCGCGCCGCAUUAGCUAGUUGUUAGGGUAACGGCUUACCAAGGCGACGAUGCGUAGCCGACCGGAGAGAGUGGUCGGCCACACGGGAACUGAGACGCGGUCAUGACUCCUAAGGGAGGCAGCAGUCGGGAAUCUUCCGCAGUGGGCGAAAGCUUGACGGAGCAACGCCGCGUGAGUGAUGAAGGUCUUCGGAUCGUAAAACUCUGUUAUGAGGGAAGAACAAAUGUGUAAGUAACUAUGCACGUCGUGACGGUAACGAAUCAGAAAGCAACGGCUAACUACGUG